Long non-coding RNA from Bradysia coprophila, 291 nucleotides. The record is from RefSeq and is a predicted model, not a curated record. Lineage: Eukaryota; Metazoa; Arthropoda; Insecta; Diptera; Sciaridae.
AUACACAGACAAGUUUAGAUUGUAAUUUAAUAUACUCUCGACACCGAAUUAAUUUUAUAAUUUUUUUUUGUUUGUUUGUUUGUUUCUUAAAAUCUUUUCUUUGAUUUCUUUUAUAUCCUAGAAAUUGUCAUUCAUGAAUACGUCACGUGUAUAUGAUACAGAAUUUAUCAGUAUUCACUAUCUCACUUCGAGAAAAAUUUAAAUAAAAAAAAAAAUCCGAAAUAGAAAAUCAGCCGCUAGAAAUGACAAUUUUAAUAAUAUCCAAAUUGUUGCAAGUACUUUCGAUAUAUA